UACGUAGGGUGCAAGCGUUGUCCGGAAUUAUUGGGCGUAAAGCGCGUGUAGGCGGCUUUGCAAGUCGGGUGUGAAAUCCCUCAGCUCAACUGAGGAAGUGCGCCCGAAACUGCAGAGCUUGAGUACCGGAGAGGAUGGUGGAAUUCCCCAAGUAGAGGUGAAAUUCGUAGAUAUGGGGAGGAACACCGGUGGCGAAGGCGACCAUCUGGACGGAUACUGACGCUGAGACGCGAAAGCGUGGGGAGCGAACAGG
This 253-nucleotide ribosomal RNA is filed under the name uncultured bacterium. RNAcentral describes it as "partial 16S ribosomal RNA". It matches the Rfam family "Bacterial small subunit ribosomal RNA", at positions 524 to 776 of the family's 1533-position model. The record is from RNAcentral.